This is a long non-coding RNA of Micropterus salmoides (largemouth bass), 1083 nucleotides long. RefSeq lists it as uncharacterized. The record is from RefSeq and is a predicted model, not a curated record. Lineage: Eukaryota; Metazoa; Chordata; Actinopteri; Centrarchiformes; Centrarchidae. The transcript has 3 exons.
UGCACUUCGGCACGCGCUCAGCAACGACCGCGAAGCGCCGCGACCUCGGCUUUUCCCUCGUUUCCAGCAACUUACUUACUUUUUAUUUUCUUUGGUUUGUUUUGUUAAAAGUUAUCAGACCGUUAAGUUACACAAUUUUAAUUCAAGAACGACCAAGUUCUUUUAAGCUUUAUUCAUCAAGCUAACUUACACUGCUUCCACCGACACCCGGACCCAGCCAAGUGGGCCCGCCAGCAUUAACAAAAGACGACCAAACCUUUAACCCGAGCCAGAGUUGUAAAGGCCUCCCACUGAAGGUUUUGUUCAAUAAGCUGACCAAGACGGACCUCUGGAGCAAUUCCCUGGCAGAGAAAGCCACUGGCCGACGGCUUUAAGCUGUCCUAACCGAGAACGCACGGAACUCCACCAGCGUGAGGCCGCCGACCAGCAACCCGGCUGGUAGAAACGACAAGCAGAACAACAUGAGAUGCCAUCCGACCCUCCGUGGCCUCCCAGUGAACCUGCUAGCGGAUGACUGACGUCUUCAAAACCUGCAAUGUUCAGCGACCUGUUCGCCUGGGCGGAAGAAUACGAGGACUCCCAGACCAAGCCUCCCAAGUCCCGCCAUAAGGCUCUGGCCUCCUCGCCUCGCUCCCGGAAAGGAGUGGGUCUGCCCACAAACGAGGAGGAGAUCGCCCCACCUCAACCUGCUCCUCUGUGUGAGGACAACCUGAAUCUGCGUCUUGUUCUUUGGUUGGUCCGUUUCAAUACUAUGAUCUUAGGGCUUAAAGUAGGUCUCUAGCAACGUAUUUGAAGCCUACUGUCGCUGUUUAAUGAAUGAGCGCCACUAUUAAAAUUUCACACGAUCGUUAAUGAUUUUCAGUAAACUACAGUAACAAUCAACGCAUGGCUGUCUCCCUCUACUCAUUCUUUAAAGGAUGAGCGAAUGUGAGAGAGCGGCAGAAAGUGACGGUGAAAGUUAGCGGAGGAUAAGAUCAGCAUUAAGUUGUUAUGUUACAGCUCUGUCCUCUACUGUACAUCUUGAUCGUUAAAUUAAAAAAGGACGGUGUUGACCACGGAGGAGCUGAGGUUAGUAACGUUAAA